RNAcentral lists this ribosomal RNA (119 nucleotides) under Setaria viridis. RNAcentral also lists the same sequence under 2 other names. The record is from RNAcentral. Lineage: Eukaryota; Viridiplantae; Streptophyta; Magnoliopsida; Poales; Poaceae.
GGAUGCGAUCAUACCAGCACUAAAGCACCGGAUCCCAUCAGAACUCCGAAGUUAAGCGUGCUUGGGCGAGACUAGUACUAGGAUGGGUGACCUCCUGGGAAGUCCUCGUGUUGCAUUCC